RNAcentral lists this ribosomal RNA (254 nucleotides) under uncultured bacterium. Its description in RNAcentral is "partial 16S ribosomal RNA". It matches the Rfam family "Bacterial small subunit ribosomal RNA", at positions 524 to 776 of the family's 1533-position model. The record is from RNAcentral.
UACAGAGGAGCCAAGCGUUGUCCGGAUUGACUGGGCGUAAAGCGCACGCAGGCGGCACCGCGCGUGGGGUGUGAAAUCUGGCCGCUUAACGGCCAGGCGCCAUCCCAUACGGCGGAGCUGGAGUGAUGCAGAGGUUGAUGGAAUUGCCGGUGUAGUGGUGAAAUGCGUAGAGAUCGGCAGGAACACCCAGGGGGAAACCAGUCGACUGGGCAUCUACUGACGCUGAGGUGCGAGAGCGGUGGGGAGCGAACCGG